Molecule: ribosomal RNA, 253 nt
Filed under: uncultured bacterium
Lineage: Bacteria
Description: partial 16S ribosomal RNA
Rfam family: Bacterial small subunit ribosomal RNA
Source: RNAcentral
UACGUAGGGUGCGAGCGUUAAUCGGAAUUACUGGGCGUACAGCGUGCGCAGGCGGUUCGUCGUGUCCGAUGUGAAAGCCCCGGGCUCAACCUGGGAAUGGCAUUGGAAACUGGCGGACUCGAGUGUGGCAGAGGGGGGUGGAAUUCCGCGUGUAGCAGUGAAAUGCGUAGAUAUGCGGAGGAACACCGAUGGCGAAGGCAAUCCCCUGGGCCUGCACUGACGCUCAUGCACGAAAGCGUGGGGAGCAAACAGG